UACGUAGGGUGCGAGCGUUAAUCGGAAUUACUGGGCGUAAAGCGUGCGCAGGCGGUUUUGUAAGCCAGAUGUGAAAUCCCCGGGCUUAACCUGGGAAUGGCAUUUGGGACUGCAAGGCUGGAGUGCGGCAGAGGAGACUGGAAUUCCUGGUGUAGCAGUGAAAUGCGUAGAUAUCUGGAGGAAUACCGGUGGCGAAGGCGGCAUCCUGGACCGACAUUGACGCUGAGGAGCGAAAGCUAGGGGAGCAAACGGG
Molecule: ribosomal RNA, 253 nt
Filed under: uncultured bacterium
Lineage: Bacteria
Description: partial 16S ribosomal RNA
Rfam family: Bacterial small subunit ribosomal RNA
Source: RNAcentral